The sequence is a transfer RNA, 72 nucleotides long. It matches the Rfam family "tRNA". Rfam says of the family: Transfer RNA (tRNA) molecules are approximately 80 nucleotides in length. Their secondary structure includes four short double-helical elements and three loops (D, anti-codon, and T loops).
GUCUUCGUAGUUUAAUGGAUAAAACAAGGACCUCCUAAGUCUUAGAUAGAAGUUCGAUUCUUCUCGAAGACA